Molecule: long non-coding RNA, 1283 nt
Organism: Ochlerotatus camptorhynchus
Lineage: Eukaryota; Metazoa; Arthropoda; Insecta; Diptera; Culicidae
Exons: 3
Source: RefSeq, a predicted model, not a curated record
ACUGAAAGUCAUCAGUUGAAAUUAGUUUGUUGCAGCAGUCACUUCGGGAGCAAAUCGCCAUAAACAUGAAACUAACCAUUCUAUUCACGUUGCUAAUGCUGCUUAUUGGGGUAGCCUUCUCGUUUCCUGUGGAAGGAACCGACUCCUUGGCUGAACCAAAGCAAGAAGAGCCCCAAUCAGCCAAAGUAGACCACACACAUCAUAGAUGCUCCGGUGAGCAUUCUGGUUCGGAGGAAAGCAAAGAAGAUAAAGCCAACGUCGCCCACUAAAUGGACGAAAGGGGCCGCACGCAUUUCCAUGGAAGGAAUUGAUUUGGAGGAAAUUUUGAUAAAGCUUCAAUAAUUUAUGGUUAAUUGAAUAAAGCAUUUAAAUUUGGAAUUAGGUACUUGCUUUUACCAUCAAACUCAACAGAGGUCACCACAUAAGUCUGUGGAGAAAUCGCAGUACGUAUAUUUUCGGAAAACAGCUCGGAAAACAGGGGCCUAAUUGAAAAGGUUAAAACAAAGCGUUUUUCGUAAGAACGCUUGCAUGAAAACAGUCGUAUUAACUUGGUACCAUAAUGUGGCCCCAGGUGAUUUCUCUAUAGGGCUCUAAAACCCGCCAUCUUGGAAAAAAGGCUUGAGGAUGCAGAUUUCAAAAUAUUGCACGGCGAGGCAUAGGAUUGAAAUGUUAAAAUGCUUAUAUUUCUCAAAUAAUAUUUUUUUUUAUAAUUUUGGAGUAAAACUCAAGGGCUACUCAAUAGACGUAUUAUAUUAAAUAUUCGAAGAUUUUCCAAAUAUUUGAUAAAAGUGGUUCAAAUAGUAUCACUCAAAUCAAUUUAAAGUAAUUAUUUUGAAAACUAUAAGCAUUUUAAAUCUUUUGUCACAUACCUUGCCAUGCAAUAUUUUGAAAUCUCCUCAUCAUCAUUACCAAGUCUUUUUUCAAGAUCGCAGGUUUUAUUGGCCUAUGACUAUCGUUUCUUUCGGUGCACAAAUUUCUACGUUUUGUUCUAUCAAGCUUUCCACGCUCGGUAAUGGUAGUUAGAGUCGGUGUAUAAUGAGUCACGCCAAAAGUACAGCCAUGCCUACAUAUUGAACUGUUAAACCGGCUACCUAUCGUGCAAAUUAAAUAAAAAAUCCGAUUUUUUGAAAUCUCCAUGAAAGGUAUAAAAUGUAAAAUAUAAUCGAAAAAAUGACCAUAACACGUAGUGAGUAUGAUACUUUGACUAGUGCGGAGGCAAAUAUUAGCCGUAUAAUCCUAUUUUCGCCUGUAUAAGUUGUAUAAGAAUCUUUCGAAAGCCAUGA